This 492-nucleotide ribosomal RNA is filed under the name uncultured bacterium. RNAcentral's name for it is "partial 16S ribosomal RNA". It matches the Rfam family "Bacterial small subunit ribosomal RNA", at positions 29 to 507 of the family's 1533-position model. The record is from RNAcentral.
AGUGAACGCUGGCGGUAGGCCUAACACAUGCAAGUCGGACGGCAGCACAGUAAGAGCUUGCUCUUACGGGUGGCGAGUGGCGGACGGGUGAGGAAUACAUCGGAAUCUACUUUUUCGUGGGGGAUAACGUAGGGAAACUUACGCUAAUACCGCAUACGACCUACGGGUGAAAGCAGGGGAUCUUCGGACCUUGCGCGAUUGAAUGAGCCGAUGUCGGAUUAGCUAGUUGGCGGGGUAAAGGCCCACCAAGGCGACGAUCCGUAGCUGGUCUGAGAGGAUGAUCAGCCACACUGGAACUGAGACACGGUCCAGACUCCUACGGGAGGCAGCAGUGGGGAAUAUUGGACAAUGGGCGCAAGCCUGAUCCAGCCAUACCGCGUGGGUGAAGAAGGCCUUCGGGUUGUAAAGCCCUUUUGUUGGGAAAGAAAAGCAGCAGGUUAAUACCCCGCUGUUCUGACGGUACCCAAAGAAUAAGCACCGGCUAACUUCAUG